GGGGCGGAUAAGGAAAGAUGGCUGCCCCGGCAUAUCGUCGGGGAGGAAAGUCCGGGCUCCGGCAAGACAGCGUAAUGGGAUAAUUCCCAUCCUUCAGGUUAAAUCCUGAGGAGGAUUUCUGUUCGGGGGCUAUAUUUAGAACAGACCCGUUAGUGUUUUUUUACGGGAGAGCCACAGAGACGAGCGCCCCAGCAUAAACGGGGCGGGUGAAACGCGGCAAUCUCUACGCGGAGCAAGGUCGAAUAGGAGACGAGAGUAGGUCUUGGCUCGCUUUUAGUCUCGGGUAGACUGCUAAUGGGCUGGUAGUAAUAUCAGCCUUGAGAUAAAUGGCCAUCAAAACAGAACCCGGCUUACAAUUCUGCCCCCGCG
This 369-nucleotide RNase P RNA is filed under the name Candidatus Omnitrophota bacterium. RNAcentral's name for it is "RNase P RNA component class A". It matches the Rfam family "Bacterial RNase P class A". From Rfam's summary of the family: Ribonuclease P (RNase P) is a ubiquitous endoribonuclease, found in archaea, bacteria and eukarya as well as chloroplasts and mitochondria. Its best characterised activity is the generation of mature 5'-ends of tRNAs by cleaving the 5'-leader elements of precursor-tRNAs. The record is from RNAcentral. Lineage: Bacteria; Pseudomonadati; Candidatus Omnitrophota.